This is a small nuclear RNA of Camelus dromedarius (Arabian camel), 107 nucleotides long. Lineage: Eukaryota; Metazoa; Chordata; Mammalia; Artiodactyla; Camelidae. The record is from Ensembl.
GUGUUUACUUCAGUAGCACAUAUACAAAAAUUGCAGUGAUGCAGAGAAGCUUAGCAUGACCUUUGUGCAAGAAUAACAUGUACAUUUGUGUACUUUAUUUUUUUUUA